This 520-nucleotide ribosomal RNA is filed under the name uncultured Glomus. RNAcentral's name for it is "SSU rRNA". It matches the Rfam family "Eukaryotic small subunit ribosomal RNA", at positions 569 to 1090 of the family's 1831-position model. Lineage: Eukaryota; Fungi; Glomeromycota; Glomeromycetes; Glomerales; Glomeraceae. The record is from RNAcentral.
CGCAGCCGCGGUAAUUCCAGCUCCAAUAGCGUAUAUUAAAGUUGUUGCAGUUAAAAAGUUCGUAGUUGAAUUUCGGGAUCAGUUCGUCGGUCGUGCCUUUGGUAUGUACUGGUGUUACUGGUUCCUCCCUUCUGACGAACCGUCAUGUCAUUAAUUUGGUGUGGCGGGAAAUCAGGACUGUUACUUUGAAAAAAUUAGAGUGUUUAAAGCAGGCUCGCGCUUGAAUACAUUAGCAUGGAAUAAUGAAAUAGGACGUUCGAUCCUAUUUUGUUGGUUUCUAGGAUUGACGUAAUGAUUAAUAGGGAUAGUUGGGGGCAUUAGUAUUCAAUUGUCAGAGGUGAAAUUCUUGGAUUUAUUGAAGACUAACUACUGCGAAAGCAUUUGCCAAGGAUGUUUUCAUUAAUCAAGAACGAAAGUUAGGGGAUCGAAGACGAUCAGAUACCGUCGUAGUCUUAACCAUAAACUAUGCCGACUAGGGAUCGGAUGAUGUUAAUUUUUUAAUGACUCAUUCGGCGCCUUA